AUACGUAGGUGGCAAGCGUUGUCCGGAUUUAUUGGGCGUAAAGCGAGCGCAGGCGGUUUCUUAAGUCGGAUGUGAAAGCCCCCGGCUCAACCGGGGAGGGGCAUUGGAAACUGGGAGACUAGAGUGCAGAAGAGGAGAGUGGAAUUCCAUGUGUAGCGGUGAAAUGCGUAGAGAUAUGGAGGAACACCAGUGGCGAAGGCGGCUCUCUGGUCUAUAACUGACGCUGAGGCUCGAAAGCGUGGGGAGCGAACAGGAUUAGAUACCCUGGUAGUCCACGCCGUAAACGAUGAGUGCUAAGUGUUGGUGGGUUUCCGCCCUUCAGUGCUGCCGCUAACGCAUUAAGCACUCCGCCUGGGGAGUACGACCGCAAGGUUGAA
This 377-nucleotide ribosomal RNA is filed under the name uncultured bacterium. RNAcentral's name for it is "bacterial SSU rRNA". It matches the Rfam family "Bacterial small subunit ribosomal RNA", at positions 523 to 898 of the family's 1533-position model. The record is from RNAcentral.